AAAAUUAAGAAGGAUGUAUUUGAAGGAAUGAUGGAGUUGAACAGGCCAAAAACAUCAUGGAUUUUAUUUUUUUAAAUUAAUUAAAAAAAUUUUUUUACAAUGUGAUUAGGGAAUAUCAUGGAUUUUCAAAGUAUUGAAGGAAAAAUAUUAAAACCUAGAUUUUUACAUAUGACAAUGCAGUCAUUCAACUAUGAGGCUAUGAUGACAUAUAUUUCCAAGCAUACAAGACCUCAGAAGACAGUUUUUGAUAAAAUCCUUAAAUAGAAACAAAUAUGGAAGAUAAUUAAAAGACGUGUGAAGUAAUGCUGACAAAAUGUCUUGGGAAAAUGUGCUGUUUUUUUAAAUAGCCAACAACUAAGAAAAGGAGAACAUAGGGGCAUAAUGGUUUAGGAUUUAAAGUAGAUAGUAGCAAAUGAUGGGGUAGGAGAAGAUGAAGAGACAAAGGGAUGUCAGAAUGGACAAGAUUCUUUGUAGGAGAGAUAUAUAUACAUCCAAUUUUUUUUUUAGUAAUAAAAGAUUCAAAAUAAAUUCAGAAAACAUUCAAAGUGUGGGAAAAACUUAAAUAUUGAAAAUGGUGAAACACAUUGUAAUGUAUAAACAAUUAUGAUUAUAAUUACUAUUUCAUUUAUUUUUGUUAGUGUGUCCAUGAACUUCCUGCUUAUGAUCUUUACUCCUUUUUCUUUUUGUAAGGGGAAAUACCCUUCAUUUUUCUUCGAUAAUACAUGGUCACUAUAUGGUUCAAACUCUAAGAUAAGGGGAAAAUCUCCUGGAGUUAACUACAAUCAGAUACAUACUAUAUAUCAAAUUGAUAUAUAGUAUAUAUCAAAUGUAGAGGACAUCAGACCAUAUCAUUGCUCAUUUCUUCUGCAACACUUACUUUCCUGAACAUGAUGCUUUACUUAUUCUUUUAUCAAAAUAUUCAUCUUGACACAUAUAACCAGAAGUUUUAAGAGCUAUGAGGAAGUCAAUUCAGGGCAUUAUUAACUGAAAUUUCUAGUUAUACAAAAGCAGGAUACUGUCGUAGUGCAGGAUUAAUUUAGGUAUGUGGCAGAGGGAGUUUAACUGAAGCAAGACCAGGCAGAUCAGAGACCAGUGGUCAGAGUUAGGACAAUCAAUUCCCAGUCAGUCCAAAAGCGGGGUGCCCAUUACAUGGCUCAGUUGAAUGUGGGCACUGAGAUUUCCUGUGAAUGUGAAUGUGAAUGUCAAUGUGGGCUCAGUAUUUCCUGACUCAAAGGAAACUCAGUCUGAGG
This 1250-nucleotide long non-coding RNA is filed under the name Homo sapiens (human). RNAcentral describes it as "HSALNT0041247". Lineage: Eukaryota; Metazoa; Chordata; Mammalia; Primates; Hominidae. The record is from RNAcentral.